This 972-nucleotide long non-coding RNA is filed under the name Zea mays. RNAcentral's name for it is "drought-responsive long non-coding RNA". Lineage: Eukaryota; Viridiplantae; Streptophyta; Magnoliopsida; Poales; Poaceae. The record is from RNAcentral.
AGUAUUUGAUUUCUUUCCCCUGUUUCAAGUUGCAGCCUCGCCCCUCUCGCUCUCGCGGCUCUCGGCGGAUCGGCGUUCAGUGAAAGCUAAAAGCCUAAAACCCUAGUUCGAACCUCUACUAGCCGGCGACAGCGGCGGUGGAGCGCGGGAUACCCGGAGAUGCCAGCGCCGUCUGCGGUUGCGUCGGCCGUAGAGAGGCUACAGGCAGCGGCGCAGGACGCCGCCAAGUCCUCGUCGCGCUCGGCCGGCGCCUUCUCCGAGCAGGCGCAGCAGGCCCUCGUGUCCAGGACCGCCGGUUGAAGCAAACAGUGUUUAUCCUUGAACUGCAAAUGUGUAACAAAAUAUGGAGACCACGCCAAUGUCGCUCUAUGGCUAUCAAUGUUAGGAAACCUGAGCUCAGCGUCAGCUAUACAUUAUUCAUAAUGUACAUGGACUAUGUGAGCAGAAUCAGCCGCCUGCAAAAAUGUGGUUAGCCUGAAGGAACCAGUAGUGCAGUGUUUUUUGUAUUAACUGUUGCUGUACUUCAAACCUGUCAUGAGAAGUGCUGCUAUGUUUCUCCUGAUGUUAAUUUAUUCUGCAUUGCAGACGGGUUGUUUCUCUGUCAACAUGUGCAAAGGUCAGUGCCAUUAGCUUUGCGAUUGGUGUUGUGGCAGGGUUCACACUCAAGAAAAGGCUGCGCAGAUGGGCUGCUAGACUGCUGAAGAGAAUUAAGGACGACGACUAUUGACUAAUGCGAUCUUUUCCUCAUUGUCUUUGGAGUUUGUUCAGAAAUCAGAACUAUGGCUACUACGUACCUCAGCAUCUUGUGUAGCCAACUGUUUUUGUGCCUCCACAUAUUUGCUAUGAAUGCUGGUAUAUGAUAAUAUGAACCAUCAGAAGUUCAUCACAUUACAGCAUCGUGAAAUGUGCAAAUGGUGAUACAAUGUCGCCAACGACAGUAUGAUCGUGCCAUGCUCUCUGGUGUCCUUCGUC